This 587-nucleotide ribosomal RNA is filed under the name uncultured fungus. RNAcentral's name for it is "eukaryotic LSU rRNA". It matches the Rfam family "Eukaryotic large subunit ribosomal RNA", at positions 40 to 647 of the family's 3401-position model. Lineage: Eukaryota; Fungi. The record is from RNAcentral.
AUAUCAAUAAGCGGAGGAAAAGAAACCAACAGGGAUUGCCCCAGUAACGGCGAGUGAAGCGGCAACAGCUCAAAUUUGAAAUCUGGCCCCCAGGGUCCGAGUUGUAAUUUGCAGAGGAUGCUUUUGGCAAGGUGCCUUCCGAGUUCCCUGGAACGGGACGCCAUAGAGGGUGAGAGCCCCGUCUGGUUGGAUACCGAGCCUCUGUAAAGCUCCUUCGACGAGUCGAGUAGUUUGGGAAUGCUGCUCUAAAUGGGAGGUAUAUGUCUUCUAAAGCUAAAUAUUGGCCAGAGACCGAUAGCGCACAAGUAGAGUGAUCGAAAGAUGAAAAGCACUUUGAAAAGAGGGUUAAAUAGUACGUGAAAUUGUUGAAAGGGAAGCGCUCAUGACCAGACUUGGGCCCGGUGAAUCAUCCAGCGCUCGUCGCUGGUGCACUUUGCCGGGCUCAGGCCAGCAUCAGUUCGCUCCGGGGGACAAAGGCUCUGGGAAUGUGGCUCCUCCGGGAGUGUUAUAGCCCACUGCGCAAUACCCUGGGGCGGACUGAGGUUCGCGCAUUCGUGCAAGGAUGCUGGCGUAAUGGUCAUCAGUGA